Molecule: RNA transcript, 3895 nt
Organism: Canis lupus familiaris (dog)
Lineage: Eukaryota; Metazoa; Chordata; Mammalia; Carnivora; Canidae
Exons: 7
Source: RefSeq, a predicted model, not a curated record
CCACCAUUUGCUUCGACGUGGAUGGAACUGGAGGGUAUUAUGCUGAGUGAAGAAGGUCAUGAACUGCAAGCAAGAAUGUGGAGAAGGUCCUGGACAUUGGACAGAUGUUGGACAUUGAGGAGAAAAGAGAAGUUUGAUCAUAGAGUGAUGAAGUUGGAGAUGCAACUAUGGAGCAUGGAAUUCAAAUCCUCAGUUUCUGCCUCUGCUUUGUAACAAUCAGCACCUGUCUUUUAUCCGCUAUGAAUGGCUUCCUCCUCCCAAACCUUUUGUGGGAAGCCAGAGAUAGUCACACCUGCCCCCACAGGGAUGACGAGGCGAUUGUGAACAGGAAAGAGUCCACAAGCCAAAGAAUGUGAUCAACCUUUCUAAGCUGUAGAAGACAAGAAAACAUGCUCUGCUGUAGCGCCUCCAGAAAGGACCACAGCCUUGCUGCCAUCUGUGAAACCCAUAUGGACUUGUGAACUCCAGAGCUGAAGAUCUCACAUGGUGUUGGAUAUGAUACAGACUGAUACAGCAACACAAGACUGCAGAUUGAAAGUGCGAAUCAAGAAGAUUCUACAGGGAAUCACUGCCCAUUGAGAACCACUGUGUUAGAGAUGAAGUUGUUUCUUGUAAUUCUGCUGUUGGAGAGAUUUGUUUUCCUUUCCUUAUAUAUUUUUUUUAUCACCUGAAAUUCUACCCAAACAUCACAGAAAAUGUAAGUUCUGUGAGAACAGGGAUCUUGUCCGUCUUGCUUAUUAGCCUACUCAGGGCCUAGUAUUUUAAUAAAUACUUCUUGAAUAAAUGAAUAGAAAUACAAUAAAAAUAAAUCUGCUCAUGCUUUAUUGAGUAGAUAAAAGAAGAUGUGAUUUCAUUAAUAAUAUAUUUAGAUCUAUUUGAGUUCUUAAGCUUUGUAUUAAAUGGAAUUUUACUGACCUCGGAUUAGUGAAUUUUACAAGUAAUAUAAAUCUACUCUUUCUCAUUCUCUUCUCUAUUAAUUGGGUUACUCAACCAAUAGGCAUUGUGUGCAAGGUUGUAAAGAAAUACAUAACAAAUAUAUUAGAUAUUGUGAUCACUUUGUAAUUUGUAAUAGGAAGAACUCUACAAAAUGUGAAGAUACUUUGUAGACUGAAAAGGAAAAAGCCAUUUGUAUCAUUUAACUGGUUGUUUGGCUUUGCUUGUUUCAGCUGGAUGUUCUGGGAAUUGAGGCGAUGUGUUCAAACUUUGGGGAAGAAAGUGAUGGUGAACAUACCCCCAUAGACUUCAAGAGGAAUGGAAGCCACCAGAGCUGCUUCACAACAGACGGGUUACCCAGCAGUGCCAGAGAGUCAGGGAUGGGAGCAAAUGAAGACUCUGCUAUUCAGGGUGUGGGGAGGUGAGUGCUAAAGUCAAUUUGCAGCGAUAGACACAAGACUGAAAGGCCAGAAGCAUGGGGAUCCCUGGGUGGCUCAGUGGUGUACUGCCUGCCUUCAGGCCCAGGGCAUGAUCCUAGAGUCCCGGGAUCGAGUCCCACGUUGGGCUCCCUGCAUGUAGCCUGCCUUUCCCUCUGCCUGUGUCUCUGCCUCUCUCUCUGUGUCUCUCAUGAAUAAAAAAAAAAAAAAAAAAAAAAAAAGGCCAGAAGGAAACAUUUCAGUAGUAUCCAAAAUCUAUUGUGUUUACUCAUGAAACUAUGGAUGACGAGGCUGGCAGAUUUGGAAACAGCCGGCAACUUGGGGAAGCCAGAGGAAGUAGGCAGCCGUUAUUGGGGAUUCCUGAGAGCAAAGAGAAGCUGCCCAUCACUGGGAUGGAGGCUUGGGAUAAGGAUUCAGCUUUCUUCGGGGCCAGAGCUCACCCCUGCCGGCAGACUUGAGGGCUGAGGGUCCUGCUGCGGGAGGGGUUGUGACAGGGCUGUGACAACAUGUUCUGAGAGGCAGGUGUGUCAUUUGUGGGGGGCAUGCUUAUUUCCACUGAGGACUUUGCCAUCUGCACUUGCAGUGGGGCCACCGAGUGAGAAAUGCCUGGGUCUGCAGCGGCAACCAGGCACACGCCAGCUCCCUUCCAUCUCAUUGUGGGGUCGGAGACAUGUGCCUUCUGCUGAUGCUGGGGACUCAGCUCAACUGCGUUCUAUUGUAGUAGAAGGGAGGGAGGGAGGAAAGAGGAAGAAUGCAAAGAAGGUAGAUGGAAGGAAGGGAAGGAGGAAGCAAGAAAAGAAAGGGAAGGAAGGGGAGAGAAGAAACAGAGUCAGGAUGAACACAAAGCAGGAAGGAAGGAGGAAGAAGGAAAGAACAUGAUGGAGAGUUACCUAAGAGUCUUAGGCCUUUCAUGGAACUUGUGCUGAAAUUAAAAGCAUACAUUGUGCCCUUGGAAAUCUCACACACGUGCAAACCCAUUUCUUGUCAUUCUUUUGUGGCUUCCAUAAUGUCCUGAGCGUAAAGAGCCCUUCCGGGAAGUCUUGAGACAGAAGUCCCCGGCACAGGGCCCGCUCCACCCGCCUGCAGUCUCCCAUGCACCGGUCCCCGGGGAGGCUCUUACGGAAUGCCUCCUAGUAAAAGUUACUUCCAGUUGGAAUGUAAGGAAGCUUUCCGCAAGCACAUCUUUGCGUCUGUUCUUCUCCUCGUGAGCACCUUCCAGGCUUCUGGAAUGUCCAUCACCCCCCAGAGCUCUACUACCUCCAGGGCAGCACCACGCAAAUGCCACCCCUGAGUCUCAUGGCUCCCAGCUGGGUAUUUUUAUACACAAUGUCUACAGUUCCGGCCCGGAUGUCCUACCAGAGCGAACACAUCUGAUCUAGACCACACUUCUGCGAGGACAUGUUGUUCACCACUUUCUUCCUCCUGUCCUCUCCUUAGGCCAAGGCAGCCUUGUCUGUGGGGCUGAGGCUGGGGCGAGGUUCAGCUGAUUUGCCUUUCCGGGAGGCUCCCACCGGAAGACAGGAGCACCUCCUGUGGCACUCCAGACCUUGGGCAGUCCUGCUGGUGGACAUCUGCCCUGAAGGCAGGGCAAGGGCUCCACCCACGUCUAUGCCUAAUUGUGUGCUAUGAGCUGCUUCUCUCUUUGAGCCACAGCAGCUAGAAAGGCCCAACAUUCCCUGAUAGCUCUGGGUUUUGGCUCCUCCCAGAAGCUAGUUCUCAGGCAGUUCUGUGGAGUCUUUGCAGCUUUUCAGUGCUUUGAACAAGUCUUCACAAGUUUGACCCUAAUUAAUUCAUAAUUAAAGCCAGUGAUAUUUACUAAAAAUUCCUAAAGACUUUAAUAACUCACUUGAGCAAAAAAAAGGUAUUCCUAAAAUAUUCAUGCCAAAAAAAAGGUAUGAAAUAACAAAGACUAAUUUGUGUAUGCUUUAAAAAAAGAGAGAGAGGGAAGUCUUUAAAAGGUUAUUUCAUCCAGAUUUUGAAGACUUAUAUUUUCAGCGAGAGUGGCGAGAUCUGAGGGACUCAUGUAGCAUGAAUGAAAGAGGAAACCCAAUGAUUUCUCUUUUCUGUGCUACUACUUUAAUCCACACCCCUCUCCUGCCUUCUGAGAAUUAUAAUUAUCUCUCACACGGUUACUUAAGUCUUUCCUGGUUCUCACUUCACGACUUCAGGCUUAGUUUCCUUUGGUAAAAUGACGAUGCCUUUCUGCUCCCAUACUCAGAGAUCAUCAGUGUCUUUGGGCCACCACAGGAGUCACUGCACCCUGCUCGGGUAGGCCAACAUGCCUCUGUCUGCAGGCUGGGAUGUGGUCUUAGCUCACACUAUUUAUCACCCUGGAUUUAGAAGAUGCUUCUGAUGAAUGAAUGUUGCAUUAGCAUGUGCCCCAUGUUCUCCCAAGUGAUCAUCCCUUCUUCUUCACCAACCAUGCUGUUCCACAGAGCGUUCAUUUAACCACCACUCCCAACGAUGCAUGAACACUUCCCCUAGUCUCGUUUCUGAAGCCUUAAAAAAAAAAAAAAAGAAUCUUC